Mauremys reevesii (Reeves's turtle) is the source of this 757-nucleotide long non-coding RNA. RefSeq lists it as uncharacterized. The transcript has 4 exons. NCBI's taxonomy places the organism in Eukaryota, Metazoa, Chordata, Testudines, Geoemydidae. The record is from RefSeq and is a predicted model, not a curated record.
CAACUGUGUCUGGUGCACUUCAGUUUUCUUUGGUAGUCUCCCAUUCAAGUAGUGUUCUGCAAUGAGUCCUGUAUCUUAGAUCUGACGUAAUCACAGCUCUAAGCAGUAUGGAAAGCAGUGGACCUUAAUUCCUAGAGCUGAUUUUCAAGAUCGUUGGCCUCCAAAGCGGAAAGACAGUGUGAAAAGUUAGUCGAGAUGAGGAGGGCAAACCCGGCCCUGUUGAAGUGAAUGGGAGUUCUGCCAUUGACUUCAGUGGGGGGCCAGGGUUUCAUCCCUGGUAAGUGCAUGAGCCCUCCUUUUGUUUUUGGUUUGAGCUUGUAAGAGUGAAGGGUCUCAAGAACAGAGGUUCAAGAUUUACUCCUUUCAUGUUAGGUAUGGCAACCUCUGUUUACAGCAGCCUUGAAGAUCUUCCAUUUCUCCCCCACAGAAGUGCAUUUGUUAGCUUAUCAUGGGAGGGAUAUACUAAUUCCCAGUCAGGAACAUCCUUCAACACAGAGAUCCCAGCUGAGAUGAAGCACGUAAGGGAAGAGAGUCAAAUGCCUGAAGAACCCAGGACAGAGAGGCAGAGAUCAGAGAUGCACAGAGACUCAAGGGAAGUGGUGUGGUAGGAGCAAAGCUGAUUUGGGCUUGAUUCUACUCUAAGUUUAAAGCCGCAUUAACUUCAGAGGUCAGUGUAGUUAGACCAAUGUAAAACCAGGUCGGUUUCGAUGAGGUCUCUUGGUCAGUGACAAACUCCAGAACCCUAUCUGCCAACAAG